AACGCACCUUGCGCUCCUUGGUAUUCCGAGGAGCAUGCCUGUUUGAGUGUCUUGAAGUCAUCAACCCCUCCCCGUUUUUGUGCGGAGAGGACGGUUGGAGCUGGGGGCCUGCGGCCGUGAGUCCGCUCCCCCAAAAUGCUUCGGUUGGGCCCUGUGGGUUCGAACUCGGUUGGGCGUUGUACCAUCCUCGCUCCGGUCCGACAAGUUCCCGCUCUUUUGUGCCCUCCCACGACCGCCUCUGGAGUGGUGGCCAGCAAACACUUUGAAAUCUGACCUCAAAUCAGGCAGGACUACCCGCUGAACUUAA
This 307-nucleotide unclassified non-coding RNA is filed under the name uncultured fungus. RNAcentral's name for it is "partial contains 5.8S ribosomal RNA, internal transcribed spacer 2, and large subunit ribosomal RNA". The stretch from base 1 to 52 matches the Rfam family "5.8S ribosomal RNA", at positions 103 to 154 of the family's 154-position model. Lineage: Eukaryota; Fungi. The record is from RNAcentral.